Molecule: ribosomal RNA, 485 nt
Filed under: uncultured Glomeromycotina
Lineage: Eukaryota; Fungi; Glomeromycota
Also listed under: 1 other name
Description: SSU rRNA
Rfam family: Eukaryotic small subunit ribosomal RNA
Source: RNAcentral
UGGUGCCAGCAGCCGCGGUAAUUCCAGCUCCAAUAGCGUAUAUUAAAGUUGUUGCAGUUAAAAAGCUCGUAGUUGAAUUUCGGGGUCAGUAGGUUGGUCGUGCCACCGGUACGUACUGUCUCACUGAUUCCUCCUUCCUGAAGAACCGUAAUGCCAUUAAUUUGGUGUUGCGGGGAAACAGGACUGUUACUUUGAAAAAAUUAGAGUGUUUAAAGCAAGCUAACGCUUGAAUACAUUAGCAUGGAAUAAUGAAAUAGGACGAUCGAUCCUAUUUUGUUGGUUUCUAGGAUUGACGUAAUGAUUAAUAGGGAUAGUUGGGGGCAUUAGUAUUCAAUUGUCAGAGGUGAAAUUCUUGGAUUUAUUGAAGACUAACUACUGCGAAAGCAUUUGCCAAGGAUGUUUUCAUUAAUCAAGAACGAAAGUUAGGGGAUCGAAGACGAUCAGAUACCGUCGUAGUCUUAACCAUAAACUAUGCCGACUAGGGA